CAACUAACGCUGUUUUGUUAAAUGAAGAUGUUCCAAACUUGAUCUCCUAGGACCUUUUGAGGUGAGAACCAUCCAUCCAUCUGUCCUACAGGCACACCUCUAUUGAUCUGAAGGACAAAGCCAGCAAAAUAAGAGCCAACUCAGCCUUGAUGGGAUCUGCCCACGGAUUUCCUGAGCUUGUCUGAUCCUGGGACAGAAAGAGGGAGGAGACUGUUUGGUCUCCUGGAACCAGGCACCCUUCUUGUAGAAGAGGGAAGAAACUCCAGUGGGUCCCAAGUCUGCUUCCCGUAGUAGCCCUAGGACCCAACCCAAGGCCCCAGAGAUCGCCCUGUUGGAAUCAUCCGGAAGUUGUCAGUCUUCAUGAUCCAUUCCGUGGCGAGCUGGGAAAAAACGCAGUUGCUAAAUCAACGUCUGAACAGUGUGAGGCUCCUGCCGUCCCAGGAGUCCCUGUGCAAGUGUCCUGAGCACGAGAUCACUGCGCACAGAAGACA
This 491-nucleotide long non-coding RNA is filed under the name Rattus norvegicus (Norway rat). RNAcentral describes it as "long non-coding RNA NONRATT014072". The record is from RNAcentral. Lineage: Eukaryota; Metazoa; Chordata; Mammalia; Rodentia; Muridae.